This is an RNA transcript of Spinacia oleracea (spinach), 1307 nucleotides long. It is a transcript of the gene named protein transport protein SEC16B homolog, with no coding region annotated. Lineage: Eukaryota; Viridiplantae; Streptophyta; Magnoliopsida; Caryophyllales; Amaranthaceae. The record is from RefSeq and is a predicted model, not a curated record. The transcript has 5 exons.
UCUCCAUGCGGAGCCACGGAUUUAAAAAGAAGGAGAAAAGGAAGAGACCCCUUAUUUGUUUACCGGGUCUUUUGCUCUUCCUUCUUCAAAUCUCCCCACAAAUUAAAUGGCAAUAAAUAAGGUCUUUUCCAUCUCUCUUCCUCCAUACCACACCUCUCGAUCUGAGAGACCAAAGUGUAGAAAAUCUCCGCGAUGUUGGAGAAUCCAAGGUUCAACGCUUCAAAAUAUUCUCAGAUCUAAACCAGAAGAAAUUAUGGCAUAUGCUAAUUUUCAACCUCGAAGAGUUCAUCGCUCUAGCUAUUUUACAGAGAACAUAGCUUUUUGAAUAUGCAAAGUUUCUUGGGAACUCUCAGUUUUCUCUGCUUCAACUCCAGUCAUACAAACUUGUAUAUGCGCACAUGUUGGCCGAGGUUGGAAGGAUUUCGGAUUCAUUGAAAUACUGUCAAGCUGUUUACAAAUCUCUCAAAAUUGGACGAUCACCGGAAGAAGAUACAUUGAAACAGUUAUUAUCAUCUCUCGAAGAGAGGAUUAGGACACACCAACAGAGUGGAUAUGCAGCUAACUUGGCUCCAGGAAAGAUAGUGGUUAAAUUGCUCAACUUUUUUGAUAGUACAGUUCAUCGCAUUGCUCAACUUUUUUGAUAGUACAGUUCAUCGCAUUGUUGAUAGUACUGGUUAAAUGUGUUUCCCAAGACUGUUGUGACUCACGAAUAAUCUGCCGUAGGUGAUUUUGAUCUACUUACCUCUUGAUUUGUUUGAGUUUUCAAUUAAAUAGCUAUCUCGACCUCUAUUUUGGUGUUUUAGUUCCAAAACUCUUUCAGAAUAGGCAUUUGUUUUUAUUUUGGCUCCUCCAAGUCUUAUUUUGUGUUUCCUCGUUUCAUGAACAAGUGAUCGGGCUGCUGAUGAGUCUCAGAGCAAUCAAGUGAAAAGAAAGAAGAUGCUGACCAAAUAAGUAAUGGUAUUGGGAGCGCUGCGGUGCAAGUUUUCUAGGGACAAUCCGAUGUUCUUCUCAGACAUGAAUUUAGUAAGCAAGUACAAGAGACAGAUUAUUUCUGAACCACAUAUACUUGCAAUUGCAUUUGUGUCGUUGCUUCAGGUUAAAAAUUGUUUGAAUGUAUGUUGGGUGAAAAGGAAGAAUAAUAAGAAGAAAAAGGCUAACACAAGCAAGCAAAAACAAAAAUACAGUAGGUGCCACAAGUUUGCCGGUUUUGCAAAGUGUGGCAGGCUUAUUGGCUAUAUGAACAUUGAGAUGAUUCCAUUAAAGUUUGUGAAGCAUUAGAGGAAAACUUGAUGAAUAUGGAAUGCAGA